RNAcentral lists this ribosomal RNA (497 nucleotides) under uncultured bacterium. Its description in RNAcentral is "partial 16S ribosomal RNA". It matches the Rfam family "Bacterial small subunit ribosomal RNA", at positions 28 to 507 of the family's 1533-position model. The record is from RNAcentral.
GAUGAACGCUGGCGGCGUGCCUAAUACAUGCAAGUCGAGCGAACAGACGGGGAGCUUGCUCCUGUGACGUUAGCGGCGGACGGGUGAGUAACACGUGGAUAACCUACCUAUAAGACUGGGAUAACUUCGGGAAACCGGAGCUAAUACCGGAUAAUAUAUUGAACCGCAUGGUUCAAUAGUGAAAGACGGUUUUGCUGUCACUUAUAGAUGGAUCCGCGCCGCAUUAGCUAGUUGGUAAGGUAACGGCUUACCAAGGCAACGAUGCGUAGCCGACCUGAGAGGGUGAUCGGCCACACUGGAACUGAGACACGGUCCAGACUCCUACGGGAGGCAGCAGUAGGGAAUCUUCCGCAAUGGGCGAAAGCCUGACGGAGCAACGCCGCGUGAGUGAUGAAGGUCUUCGGAUCGUAAAACUCUGUUAUUAGGGAAGAACAAAUGUGUAAGUAACUAUGCACGUCUUGACGGUACCUAAUCAGAAAGCCACGGCUAACUACGUG